Non-coding RNA from Bos taurus (domestic cattle), 72 nucleotides. The record is from Rfam. Lineage: Eukaryota; Metazoa; Chordata; Mammalia; Artiodactyla; Bovidae.
UCCUUGGCUGUCCAGUGGUUAGGACUCAACACUUUCACUGCUGAGGCCCAGAUUUAAUCCCUGGUUGGGGAA